This 236-nucleotide ribosomal RNA is filed under the name uncultured bacterium. Its description in RNAcentral is "partial 16S ribosomal RNA". It matches the Rfam family "Bacterial small subunit ribosomal RNA", at positions 118 to 353 of the family's 1533-position model. The record is from RNAcentral.
UGAGCAAUCUGCCCUUCUCAUCGGAAUAAGCGUUGGAAACGACGUCUAAUGCCGAAUACGACCUCCUUUCGCAUGAUCGGAGGUGGAAAGCUCCGGCGGAGGAGGAUGAGCUCGCGGCCUAUCAGCUAGUUGGUGUGGGUAACGGCCCACCAAGGCGACGACGGGUAGCCGGCCUGAGAGGGUGACCGGCCACACUGGGACUGAGACACGGCCCAGACCUCCUACGGGAGGNAGCG